Molecule: ribosomal RNA, 432 nt
Filed under: uncultured bacterium
Lineage: Bacteria
Description: partial 16S ribosomal RNA
Rfam family: Bacterial small subunit ribosomal RNA
Source: RNAcentral
AACGAACGCUGGCGGCAUGCCUAACACAUGCAAGUCGAACGAGACCUUCGGGUCUAGUGGCGCACGGGUGCGUAACGCGUGGGAACCUGCCCUUAGGUUCGGAAUAACUCCCCGAAAGGGGUGCUAAUACCGGAUAAUGUCUUCGGACCAAAGAUUUAUCGCCUUUGGAUGGGCCCGCGUUGGAUUAGCUAGUUGGUAGGGUAAAAGCCUACCAAGGCGACGAUCCAUAGCUGGUCUGAGAGGAUGAUCAGCCACACUGGGACUGAGACACGGCCCAGACUCCUACGGGAGGCAGCAGUGGGGAAUAUUGGACAAUGGGCGAAAGCCUGAUCCAGCAAUGCCGCGUGAGUGAUGAAGGCCUUAGGGUUGUAAAGCUCUUUUACCCGGGAUGAUAAUGACAGUACCGGGAGAAUAAGCUCAGGCUAACUCCGU